This 457-nucleotide long non-coding RNA is filed under the name Phoenix dactylifera (date palm). Its description in RNAcentral is "long non-coding RNA (PDAC_LNC018068)". Lineage: Eukaryota; Viridiplantae; Streptophyta; Magnoliopsida; Arecales; Arecaceae. The record is from RNAcentral.
AGAAACUUAUAUGCCUAGCCUAAUUUAGUCUAUCUUGAUGACUUUAGGCAGGCAGCUCAAACAAUAAGCAAUGAAAAUUGUAUGUAUAAAUUUAAAGUUUUCCAUUUCAUUAAAAUAACGUAUGAUUACAACAACUCAAACACCAAAUUAGACAACUACAAAAGAUAGGCACCCCAGGCUAGUUGAGCUCCCGUCGAUGACUCUAGAAAGGUCACCCAGCUCACGAGGCCACCCUUCACCUCGUUCUGUGUCCUGCAAUAACGCAAAGAAGCAAAAGAGGAUGGCCCGUAGAAUAAGCCUAUUUCUUGAGGCUCAACAACUCUCCGUCUUCUCUAUCAUUGCUCUGCACCUCGACUUUGGCAUCGCUAUCUGUAGUAAGGUUGAGGCUACUAAAGUCGGCCUAGGAGAAUAGCUUUGACACUUGGCUUUGACAUUCAAUGAAGACCUCCAUGAAAAA